This 658-nucleotide small RNA is filed under the name uncultured fungus. Its description in RNAcentral is "eukaryotic LSU rRNA". The stretch from base 251 to 404 matches the Rfam family "5.8S ribosomal RNA". Lineage: Eukaryota; Fungi. The record is from RNAcentral.
AAGUCGUAACAAGGUUUCCGUAGGUGAACCUGCGGAAGGAUCAUUAUCGUGCAACAGAGGCGCGAGGGCUGUCGCUGACUCGAAAAGGUCGUGCACGCCCGAGCGCUCUCACGCAUCCGUUUCACCCCUUUGUGCACCGCCGCGUGGGUCGUCCUCCCUCCGAGGGUGGGCGGCUUGCGUUUUUACACAAACCCCCACGUAACGUAACAUUAGAAUGUUUUUACCUUUUGCGGUGACACGCAAUCAAUACAACUUUCAACAACGGAUCUCUUGGCUCUCGCAUCGAUGAAGAACGCAGCGAAAUGCGAUACGUAAUGUGAAUUGCAGAAUUCAGUGAAUCAUCGAAUCUUUGAACGCACCUUGCGCCUCUUGGUAUUCCGAGGGGCACGCCCGUUUGAGUGUCGUGACAUCCUCAACCUUCUCGAUCUUUGCGAUCGGGGAAGGCUUGGACUUUGGGGGUUUUAUGCUGGCCUCUCCGGAAGCCAGCUCCCCUUAAAUGGAUUAGUGGGGUUCGCUUUGCCGAUCCUCGACGUUGAUAAGAUGUUUCUACGUCUUGGGUUGGGCACUGUCUUUCGGGAACCUGCUUCUAACCGUCUCGCGAGAGACGACGCGUUUGAACCUUGACCUCAAAUCGGGUGAGACUACCCGCUGAACUUAA